CCCAAUUGAUUGAUGGUGCUUGCACCUGAUUGAUUUUCCGUUGCCAACGAGUGGCGGACGGGUGAGUAACACGUAGGUAACCUCGCCCAGAAGCGGGGGACAACAUUUGGAAACAGAUGCUAAUACCGCAUAACAGCGUUGUUCGCAUGAACAACGCUUAAAAGAUGGCUUCUCGCUAUCACUUCUGGAUGGACCUGCGGUGCAUUAGCUUGUUGGUGGGGUAACGGCCUACCAAGGCGAUGAUGCAUAGCCGAGUUGAGAGACUGAUCGGCCACAAUGGGACUGAGACACGGCCCAUACUCCUACGGGAGGCAGCAGUAGGGAAUCUUCCACAAUGGGCGCAAGCCUGAUGGAGCAACACCGCGUGAGUGAAGAAGGGUUUCGGCUCGUAAAGCUCUGUUGUUAAAGAAGAACACGUAUGAGAGUAACUGUUCAUACGUUGACGGUAUUUAACCAGAAAGUCACGGCUAACUACGUGCCAGCAGCCGCGGUAAUACGUAGGUGGCAAGCGUUAUCCGGAUUUAUUGGGCGUAAAGAGAGUGCAGGCGGUUUUCUAAGUCUGAUGUGAAAGCCUUCGGCUUAACCGGAGAAGUGCAUCGGAAACUGGAUAACUUGAGUGCAGAAGAGGGUAGUGGAACUCCAUGUGUAGCGGUGGAAUGCGUAGAUAUAUGGAAGAACACCAGUGGCGAAGGCGGCUACCUGGUCUGCAACUGACGCUGAGACUCGAAAGCAUGGGUAGCGAACAGGAUUAGAUACCCUGGUAGUCCAUGCCGUAAACGAUGAGUGCUAGGUGUUGGAGGGUUUCCGCCCU
Molecule: ribosomal RNA, 811 nt
Filed under: uncultured bacterium
Lineage: Bacteria
Description: bacterial SSU rRNA
Rfam family: Bacterial small subunit ribosomal RNA
Source: RNAcentral